This 25777-nucleotide long non-coding RNA is filed under the name Capsicum annuum. Lineage: Eukaryota; Viridiplantae; Streptophyta; Magnoliopsida; Solanales; Solanaceae. The record is from RNAcentral.
AUUCCCCAUGAUGGUGGGACAUUAUGUUCCCUUGUCUCCCCUUAGAGGGGAGGGGUGGAACUAUUGAGGAGUUUAUGUGAGACAGCAUCAAAAUUCUCUGAUUCAAUAGAGUCAGCAAGAUCCGGGUGACCAGAAUAAUCAGCUUAAGGGGAAGUUUCGUAGGUUUGUGAAGACAGAUUCUCGUCACUUAGUUUUCAGAGCUGAGCCAACUGAUUCAGUGGUCUCCCUCUCUCCCUAUACUUUGAACCAAGACUCUUCUUUAGACUUAGGUUCUCUAGCUUCUAUUCUCAGGGUACGUAGAUCCACCCGUCUUUAUUUUCCUAUUCAUAGGUUUGUAUCAACUAAGUCUCUAUCUACUUCCUACAAGUAUUUUUUGUAAUUUCAUCCAUCGUUUUUAACCUGAUACCUUUGCAGAGGCCAUAUCUCAACCCUGCUGGCAGCUCUAUACAGAAAGAGAUCGUAGCACUAGAAUGGUUUGCUACUUGGGAUUGAGUCUCUCUUCCUCUAGAGAAAGAAGCCAUUGGCUACAAGUGGGUCUAUAAAGUCAACAAAAAGCUGAUGGAGCAGUUGAGGGGUUGAAGGCUAGAUUGGUGGCCAAAGGAUACACACAAGAAUAUUGAGUCGAACCCCUUUCCAACCAGUCAAGUGGCCCAAGGGCCACCUCUUCUGUGACAGCUAUUUCCUCGUUUGGGAAGCAAUUCUUAAACUCAUGUUCCUCCUUGAUUUGAUAGGGUGCAAGGUGUUCUGCUAUCGACCUUCCUUUUUGGUUACAUACAUGAUGUCGAAUUCAGACAAAAGCAGUAACCAUCUUGCGGUCCUUCUCGUUACGUUAAGGCGAGUUUCUCGAACAAAUACUUUUUUUAGGUCUAUGGAAGCUAUUAAAUGUACUGGGUAAGACAGCAUGUAAUGCCUCAAUUUCUGCCUUACCCGCCAAGCAGGUUUUCUCCAAAUUGGUAUCCCUGGUCUUGUAGUCAGUCAUUUUCUUACAUUGGUAGUAGAUGGCCCUUUACUUCCAUCUAUCUUCAUUGUAUUAAGCCAACAUAGACCCCAUAGUGGUUUCAGUGACUGAUAGGUAUAGUAAUAAAGGCUUCCUGGCAUUGUAGGCACUAGAAUAGAGGUAUUCCUUUAUUUUGUCAAAAGCUUUCUCCCAUUUUCCUGCGAAAUUUGGAUUUCAAAAUUUGUGUAUCGGCUCGCAAGUGGUUUAUACAAGAGAAAGUGAAAGUCUGAUGGGACUAUUGAUCGCUACAAGGCUCGCGUGGUAGCCAAAGGCUACAACCAGCAAUAGGGUAUAGACUAUGGUGAGACAUUCAGUCCAGUUAUCAAGAUGGCAUCAAGGGCGAUUAGAGGUGUGACUUGCUUGAUAAGGGAAAGAAGAGACGGCCCUCCACGACGCAAAACAAGUCGAUUCCUACAUUUUUCAAUUCCCAGAAGCUCUUAGCUACUCAGCUAUACUAUAGGCUCUAAAGGCAUUACUUGACUGAAAGAGUGCUUAUAUUAUGGGGCCUUACCUUUCCAACAUCUGACUUAUAUACAGGUCAACGUCAACUUAAGAAGCACGAAAAAAAUUAGCUCACUUGACUGAAAGGACUUAAGGCUAGCUGCCUAUUGCAGGAGUUCCUGUCCUAAAAGGACAACAGCAAGCUGCUACUGAAUGUGAACAAAGCCAAACCAAUAUGAUAUUCAAUAAGCCCACUUUUUUGAGAGAAAAAACCUGAAUUUGUUGAGGAAGAUCAGCUGUAGAGGAAAACCUAUAGUCAAACCGAGAAUAGCAGUCGAAGUUUGCUAAAGAGUCUGGCACUUUAUUGUUUUCUCUAAAUGUAUAGACGAUUUUGAAAGGGCCAGCCGAUAAUUUGGAUGAAAUGAAACUCCACCAUGAGUCUAGGUAUGGGUAAUUUUAGGGGCUUCUUUAUUUUUGUUGAAGCAAUCAACAAUGAUUUUGGAGUCAAUUGCGAGUUUAUGAGCUUGAUGAAUGUAGAGCGCAUCCAUAAGAAUAGAAUCAGUAAACGUCCAAGAUGAUCUGAUGUCAAGAAGCUGAGAACAGUCUUUCAGCCAGUCCGUAAUUUUUGGAAUAAUAGCAGCCGAUUGAGAUAUUAGGUUUUCUAAUUUACUGCUAUUGCCUUCCUUCCAGAGUUCCCAAACUGAAAAAAUAGUAAGCAUAGACGUGACGUAGCCUACUUAGGAUUUCCUAUUAGAUCCGUUAAACCGUCAGGACUGAAUGGAAUCCGUUUGGAAGGAUCUUAUAUUGAAAAGGCAAUCAAAAUGGUUCCAAACCUCCAUAGCAAGCUCACUCUUGAUGAAGAGGCGAUCAAUACUUUAUUUAUCAUGCUCCAAACAGCACAAGUAUUUGCUAGCUAAUCUUAUACCUUUCGUCUAAAUUUAUCCCCUUAACUAAUUCUGAAAUCCCCGCAUACAAAGUAAAAUAAGAGCUUCCAUGCAAAAAUGCUAAUUAUUGUAGGAAUGGCUUUAUCCCAGACAAAUUGAGUCCAAGCUUGAAUGCCCGUUCGAUUUCUUAUCGAUUACUAACCAGCUUUGAGAAUAAAUGACUCACUACGAUUCUUUUUCCAUAUACCCCUGUCCUCCUGAUGAUAUGUGAAUAUACCACUAUUCCUGAUAUCAUAAACCACUCUGUGAGGCAAAAAUGCUUCGAUAUCAUUGAAAAAGCAGUUUCCAUGUGCGUCAAGCACAUCUAUGAUUUUAAAGAAAUAACUAGUAAAGGAGUUGGCCGGGUCAAUAAGAGGGAGUCAUACUUUGGACUGCUUUUUCAAAAGAAACUAUCUGAAAGGCCCUAUGGUUUGCUGCUUCCAAACUUGGUUGUCAGGACUUAGAGUGAAAUCAGUUCUAUUUUCAGGCAACCCCACCAAUACUUAAGGGCCCAAAAUGGUGGAUUGGAAAUAGAGCUAGCACUGAUUUCUGGUUCCACCCCUGGCUCUCUGAUAUUCUACCCCCCUCUUAUUGACCAGGUAAACUUCAUACGAAAAGCUUUUGAAAGCUCUUGAAAAUGUCUUGUAGUAGGAGGACCCAAAGCCCCUUCCUGAAUAGGUAGGCACAUAGUAUCAAAAAAUAUCCAGUGAAGCUUUCUUUUGUCUUCAUCACUGCCUCACCAAAAGUUUGCUAACAUUUUUUCCAACUGGUCAAGAACUCCCUUUGAAACUAGAAUCCCUGCAAAAAGGUGUACAGGCAUCGAGAAAAGAACAUGUUUGCAAAAUCCACUGGAUAACAAUGCUUUCAUCUCCUACCACUUUAUUUUAUACUCUAUCCAGAAGAUGAGAAAUUUGCUUUUUCAGAUUUAAAUAGAGGUAGUCCUAGAUCAAAAUAUUAGGAAUCAAAGCAAGGAAAGUAGCAUUGAUGGAACGGGGGAUCGCACCUUCAGCGAAGAAAUAAGGUCAGCUCGAAGUUUUUGAAAUCCCAACAAUAUUCUUAUUUCUUUAUUCCAUAUUUAGAAGAAGGUUAUUUCCCCUAAAUUUUUCCUGAUAGGCCUCCGCGAAACAUAGAUACCGCACAACUGUAAUACUCAACAGAUUUCUCUAGUCUUUCUUCAAGGAUCCAUCUAUCCUUUUGUUCGAAAAUUGACUUUUAUUAUGACAAAGAUAGACCCUUCAGCCAUUGGACACAAAGAAAGUUUCCUUUUCCAUUAUGCCCUCACACAAGGUUACCCUUAUGAUGCGUAGAUUAAAAUCUAAGUUUCAACUUAGACUCUAAUUGCGCUGUCGCAUAAAACUGAGAGAAAAACAUAUCUAUUAACAUUCAAUCGAGGCUUUUUUUUGAAAUACCCUCCUGAUCACUUACUAUCAGAGCACCAUAUUCCGUGUUAUACUAAACGAAACUGGUACCAUUUGAAUUAUUAGGAGAAUACAUUAUUCUAACUAUAUCAUAGCAACACUCAUUCUUGUUAACAUUCAAUCGGGGCUCUCCACGAGACGUCCCCUUGAUAACAUUUCAUUAUCAAAGCACCAUCUUCUAUUUUAUGCUACACGAAACUGGUACCAUCUGAAUAAUUAGGAAGAAUUCACACAGUAGAAUCUUUUAAGAGGAUCCCAUGGUUGGAACAAAGGACAGUCCAGACCAUCAAAAGGAAAUAUGGUUAACGGACCUAUCGUUGAUCUGUUCUAAUAGAUCCCACCAGGAAUGGCACCGGAUGGAUAUCUGACUGAUUUAACAAUCAGACCAAACCUCCGAGGCUCAUUCCACUCACUUUAUCGGACAUCACGACUCAGUCCGGGGGGGCGCCUAGGUUCCAACCAGGAAUUGAGACGUGACUUAUGACCUCAUCAGGGACUGCCACAGCUUAAUCAGAGAUAGUAAUGGGAUAUUAAAGGUUUUAACCUUUUCAACCCCAUUAACGCUCUAUUUGACACCUAUAGAAUAUUUUAACCACUCAAUAAUGAUUGUCGUUUUAACAUUAUUUUGUGCUCAGAAUAUCCUAUGGGAGAGAGGGGAAAACCUCUAUCCCUUUGGAGUUUUACAACUCUAAAUAAUGUCUUUUGAAAUACUAACAAUAUUUUGUAUAUAAAAAGAAUCUGGAAAGCCUGAUGGCUUUAAAGAAUAAGGGAGACCUUUUUUUGGGUUAGUGCGCGUCGACAUGCUAAAAAUUGCCUUUUAAACUUCUUCCAUAUUAAGAGGGCUGUUAGCAUCUUAUUAUCUUCCUCUGUGACUAGAGAGGGGAUGGUCUCAAGGAUCUCAUCUUUAAGUACUGAACCUUGAGAAGAAAGUAAUAUAUGAAAUAAAUUAAGAGCUUCCUGCCAUAGAGACAAGUUCUGAAUUUAGUUUAAGGUGCUUAUUCUCUAUCUUUGUUCGUAAAGUAGAAGUUUUUCAAGGUUACUCUUGGCCGAAUCUAACUCCAUUUUCUUAUCAGCAGACCAACUCUGUUCAAGAGCAAAUUUUCCUUCUUCGUUUUCAGCAUUUCUAUAUUCUGAAAUAGUUCGCCAAUUCAGUGCUUUAUUUGUUGAGUCAAUCUUCCUGGAGAAGACUUGAAAAGGAUUUCCCAAGCAUGGUUGAGAUCAAUGUGAAAAUAAGAAUGCUGAAUCCAUAUUCUUUGGAAACGAAAGACCCCAGGCCUGUGAGUAUUAUAAUCUUAUAAGGAGAUUACUAGAGGAGAGUGAUCAGAGGAUACUGAUAGAAAAUGGUUGACUCUGGUGGAAGCAAAAUAGCUUUUAUAUAGAAGUGGGCAGUCCCUAUUCAAAAAGGAUUCUAUCUAGUCUGGCCCAGAUACAAUGUUAACCGGUUUGAUUAUUGCUCCAAGUCAAUUUAUUGUCAUUGAAAGCCCAAUCAAAUAAUCUAAAUGAGAAAAUCAUAUCUUCAAAGCUCAUCACUUCAAUAAAGGCAUUGAAGUCAGGAGGCCGACCCCAAAGUUUUUUCUAAUGGAUCUGCAAUUAAAUUAAAGUUCCCCCUACUAUCCAUAGGAAGUUAAUGCAAGUCGAUAGGUCCUUCAAUCAUCGAGUACACUAUCGACUUCCCACACUUAUCAUGACAACAUCACCGAUCUUUGGUGCUUAUGGGGGGCCCUAUCAUACACAUGCACCACCAGAGUCUUCAUAAGAACUCUGGGGAGAGGGCCAAGGUGAACCUAGAUUAAUGAUGAGAAGUGGUCAAAUCAGUAGCAAGGCACCAGGACGGACGGUUGGUUAAACCAGGUGAUAGCUUCACUCUCGCACCCGCAUUAUCUGAGAAAAGCAUAGAAAAAAUUCCCUCAUCCCGACUCAGCUUCUCUCUCUGAUGCCACCAAUAGUCAAUUUAUUAGAGUGCUCCCCUUAAUUGAAUCUCUAAGCCUGCCAAAGACUACCCACUUACAAAAUAGGCCUAAGCCUAUGCCAAUGGACUCAUGAAAUCCAUGCACUGAGUCAUCAAAUAACGUACGUUAUGAAGACCCAAGCCUACAUGCACGGGCCCAUCCCACAAAGUCCUAUAAAUGAAGACUCGUGCCUGUCAAGCCUGCUUUUCUCGAUCCAAGAUCGGUGAAAAAAAAUCAUAAAUUAGAAGAGUUCGAUAAUGGCCAGUCUUUAAAGGCCCUUAAGAAAGAAGCUUAAGUCAUCGAUUCCAAUCCGAUAAGGCUUAUCUUUUUAUUGGUAUGCCGCUCCGCGAGCAAGGAGCGAGCUAAGUAAAUCUUACCUGAAAAUGAGUGAGAUUCGAUUCCUUUUCCUUUGUCCUUUCUGUUUUAUCAUUUUUUUUUCUCUAUGAUUCCAAUUAUUAUAUAAUAGAAACAAUAAGAAUCCCAAAACCUUACAUAAUACGUAUCAUUACACUUGAGUCACAAUUUUGGAGAAAUUUCUAAACAACUAUCAUUUGUGAAUGUAGGUUGUGUCGGGGAAAUACUGUGGCUAGUAAGUCAUUUCGUUUGCAUUUUAUUCAAUGAGACCAAAAACACAGCAAUGAUUUGUUUUAUGGACAGUUAUAUUAUUUCCAGCCCAAAUGGGGGAGUGCCUAAUAUCACCGGGAACGAGUUGGUAGGGGGGCUGAGAUCUUAAGAAUGGAUCAAGGAAAUCCUGAUGCUCCACCAGCCAUUCCUCAUACUGAACAGGCUAUGGGGGAUCUGGAUCUAGCCUUACAAUUGGGGCCGCCGAGCCCAACAAAAGAGGCUCUCAAAAGAGAGCUUUCGACCUUUCUUUCUUCCUUUGGAAAUAGGGAAGUUAGAAGGGAUGUCUUGGAAGGCACAAUAAGGAAACUUGACUUGAACAGCGCGUCCCCAGAAAAGUUUUUUUUUAGGAUCCGACAACUUAUGCAGGAACUUUCCAACAGACCGAUUGCUGCUUCCACAGUGUUGAAGGCUUUAUUGAAAGCUUUAAAAGAGUGGGAGAAAGGGGACGCAUGAGCGUUAGAUAAUAGAAAGAAGGUAGAAUUGCUCGGGAACUAGUGAUUGAUUUUUUUUCUUUUAUAUAGGUAGGGUUACGCAACGAAUCUACUCCUUAAAGUGAAGAAUCAAAAGUCAUCGUUCGUUAGACAAGGCCCACGUGUUGUGCAUCUAUGGUAUUCUGCUCGUGGGGAGAGGGAUAUGGGAAAGUAGGGUCCUCUCACCUGUGCUCAUUUCUAUUUUAGAAGUCAUAUUGGAUUUCCAAUUGGUGCUCAAAAGAAGGGUUCCAAACCUCUGAAAGACGAGGCAGGUUUAACGCUACGCCCUUCCCUUGUUCAAGAGAAAGCGAGGACUUUCUUUUAGCUACCGGACCAAACAAAAGAGAUUAGUCUCUUGAUCGAUCGAUUGAUUGGAUCAAAGUAUGAAGGGGUUGAUUGAAGUCUGAGAUCAGCCCAAGACUAAGGCCGAGCAACUAGCUGCUGCAGGAUUGGAUGUCUAUCUAUCUCACCACUCUCCCCUACUCCUAUAAAGGCCGGUGAAAGAAAUGCUCUACUUAUCUUUCUUACGGCUCAUUACCGCAGGGCUCAUUCACCCCUUCGUUUUCUUCCAUUCAAAAAAAGGUAGUCUUUCCUUGGUAAAAUAGCGUCGUCAAAGUGAAGCAAAGGCAUUAUUGAAGGAAAAAAAUGAUGGGUCGAUCAAUUGUAUUAGGUAGGAGAUGCAGGACCUGUCUUAACCAUAAGUGCAUUCGCUAUUCAAUUCCAUCCUAAAUCCCACCAAUUCCAAAGUGUGUAUCUCUUCUUUACUUUGUUGUGACAAGGGGGGUGACAAAGGGUAUACUUUCUUCUUUAUGUCGCCGUCUCAUCAAUGAGCGUAGAUUAAUAGCCAAGCCUAACCUAUUGUGCUUGUCAAUCUGGAUCCCAUUCUUCAGGUAUAGUUUUCUUUGAUCACAGAUCGACAGGUGAUCCGUCCUUUCUUCCCCUUUCGUCAUAAGGUGUGGUCUGACUCUGAGAAAAGAAAUUCCUGUGUUUAGGUCCCUACUAAGCUAAGCAGAAUUCGUAAACUAUGCAAAGGCUCUUUGAAUACUUUUUCCAAAUUUUUUAGCAAAAAAAGCAAAAACAAUUUUCAACGCUCUUACAAGGUAGUGAUGAGUUAAACUACUCAUGUUGGCAUGGAAGUCAGCUCGGUAAACUGAUUCCAUUCUGCUACUAGGGUUCCAAACCUUCCCCUGAGUUCUAAAAUCUAUAAAUACCUUUUCAACUCAAUAAAUGCUAAAGCUAUUUAGAGUUGGUCUUUCUAACUAAGUUGGAAGGAGGGCUUUAGGCAAAGAGCAACUCGAAAGUACUUUACUUCAGUCCCAGUACUAAAAGACGUGACUUCAGGAGUGGAUUUCUGAAGAAAAGACUUUGUUUACUUCCUGAAAAUUGGUUAUGUAAGAACUAAUAGAAAUAAAGGUGGCCCAAGGGCCACUUGACUGGUUGGAGAUGAGAGACCAUUUCCAUGAGAGAGGGACGAGCAAGUGACAGAUUGGGAAAAAAAUAGGUAGGCCUUCUGAGCGGUCAUUUAGGGGCCUUGUUAGUGACCCAUCAUUCUUCCCUAAGCUGUUAGAGUCCGAUCGAAGCGACCAAGAGAUAGAGGAAUCCUCACUCAUGGAUGUGAAUUGAAAAAGCAAGCCCAAAUUCUUUUAAUUAGGCUCUAUAGACUGGUCCCUGUCCCUGGUAAGGUCUGAUUGUUAUCCGUAAGUCUUGUUUUGACCGCGGGAAGGUGAACUUUGCAAAAGUGCUUAUUUUGUUGGGGAGAAUAGGACUUCUGACUCCAAGCCUACCCUACCCGAAAUUUGCAGCUAUUGAUGUAGCCUCUUGUUGAUACUACUAAUCUUCUCACUGCCUACUAGAAAAAUCCCAUCAAGAUAGAUUGAAUCGAUGACCUAUACUUCAACUAAAUUCAUAAGGGCGUAAGGAGCACAGAACAGAGCUUUUUAGUAGGAUUGAGGCUCGGCCUUUGAAUCCACUUGCCUCUACUUUUCAUGUCAAGCGUACAAGUGACGUUUAGUGGGAUUUACUUCUAAAGACAGGAAUUCUUUUUCAUCUCCCCUGUCAAAGUCGAUGUCUUAACCUGACUUCCUGAGCUCAGUUGAUUCUUGAAGCAGUAGCUCUGGAUCGAGAGCUUGAUGCUUACCUUAUUAUUAUGAAAUGAAAAGGAGAAAGAGCUUUUUUUAUAGAUGUUGAGGUGAGUAAGGGGGGUUUGCUGUCUUGAUGGCUAGCUCAUGCAAUCAAGGAAAAAUGCCUUCACCUUUUUUUUUCAAAAUGAAAAAGUAAACUACCUUAGUAAGCUAGCUUUGGUUGCUAAGCAAGCCGGGCACUACGCUAGGACGUGGAUCGAUUAUGACGAGAAUGGACUUCUCCAUAAUGUAAUGUAAAUGUAAUAGAAGAGGAAGAGUCCAGUUCCCCUCCCUUCUUGACCAAAUGAAGGAGAUAUGAAUUCCAUUUAGGCGGGUCAGGGCUUGGCUUGACCCUGUGUUCUCCCGGGUCGGAGGCAAGAACUUAAAAGUGAAUCAUUCAGCGGUGGGGUGUUCAUAGAAAAGAAGGGGUCACCCAAGAAGUGGCAGAUUUGGAUGGAGUCUCGCUCAUACAGGAAGAGUACGCGCGCUAGCGCGCUACGGCUUACGUAGUUGAUCGGAUCAGAUAGCCCUUCCUUCGGGCACGCAACCAAACCCGGCACAUCCAAUUCCAUUCUGAUCAACAACUUGGAGGUAUGGCUGAGUGGCUUAAGGCAUUGGUUUGCUAAAUUGACAUACAAGAACAUUGUAUCAUGGGUUCGAAUUUCAUUUUCUUCGGUAAGAAAUGAAAGGGGCGGGCGAAAUUACGUGAGAGAAAGAACCUCUUGGUUGAGUCCAGUCCCCUGGAGGACAGAAUAGCACUUCUUAGUGAGACAGAGCGGAGAGCUCGUUGCACCUUGUUUUUUUGCCUAUCUUCUUUCUAUAAGCAAGCUCCCUCCGGCAGUUCCUGCACGGCUCUUGGUUCGUCGAUCAUGUUGGGGGAUUAGGCGGCAGUUGAAAGAGCUGCUCGAAAGCUUGACGAAGAAGCAAAAAAAUCCUAUCUAUUCUAUUUUCUUAGUUUAGUAAAGGGCUUUUCCCUUACUAGUCAAGUGGUAAGGUAGGGCGCUAUUCGAUGAAGAAAACAGACUUUAGAAAAGUGGUUCAGGUAGCUAAGCCGAUUAGAGCAAAAGACUGAAAAUCAUUGUGUCAGUGGUUCGAAUCCACUUCUAACCAGGCGAAAGGUCUAAACUGUAGUUGGGAGCUAGGCGGAUUUCGAAAUGAAAGUGAAAGAGUAAGCAAAUAAAUGUGAGUGCUCCUGCACUAUAUGGACGUCUUUUUGGCAGUAGGGUUGGGGCUUGAGGCAGAUUCAAAAAAAAUGGUUGAUUACUCGGAUUGGUUCACGCAUCCCUGUGCCCAAAAGGAUGGGCGAUUUUGAUUUGAGUGUUCAUCGAUUGGGUGGAUCUAUAUGCUUUGGGGUGGUGAGAUAAGGUGUAGCGCAGUCUGGUCAGCGCAUCUGUUUUGGGUACAGAGGGUCAUAGGUUCAAAUCCUGUCACCUUGAUAUGGAUACAGUAGCCUAAGAGCAAGUCAAAACAACGAGAAGGGCGCGAGAAAUGAAGGUUGAGAGAGAUUUUCAAAUCAAACUUCAAGUUGGUGUGCCGCGUGUUAAGAAGCCAGAGACCGCCCCAUGCUUCGCCCUAAUUCCCAUCUAAGGUUGAAUAAGAUUAGAUUAGUCUCGCUAAAUUCAUUCUCGAAUGAUUCAUCAAUGGAAUUAGGCCUAGGUGUAUAAAAAUUUCUUGUGAUUCCCCUUCUUUCUUUAACGAAGGCAUACACGCACCGAUAGGGAACCCAAAGAAGAGCUAGAAAAAGGAAAGCGGAACCAACACUAAAUAGCUCAAUUUCUUAUUCCUGAGCGGAAGGUACGCUCAGCCCCUGAUACAUUGCUAUUUCUUAAUCCUUGCAUCCAGGGAUAAUGAGUCGGUUGGCUCUUAGAGUAUAGCCUCUCUCAGGGUUAGCGAUAAGAGUACACCGGCCCAUGUAGUAGCGGGAGAACUAAGGAUUUUGUGCUUGCAAGGACGUGUGCAAGUGGGUGAACGCAGCACCAGCCAAGCCAGUCACUUGAAACAUAGGGGUAUUCAAUCCCCGAGCUUCUGGGCCUUGAGAACCGACUUUGGAUUUGCUCCUUAGAUAGUGAGUAGCAAAGAAGGGUAGGGUUUUAAGUUUAGGGUUUUAACUUUCACGUCCCAGCUUAUCGAAGCUACCGUCUAUCGAUGGAAAUUUCCCUCCUCAGUCGGAGGCGGAACCGGCUCCCCCUGAACCAUUCUUGGAAGAGUAAGGAAAGAGAAGGGGACGGGAGUUUCUCGCCUCCUAAGAGUAUAAAGAAGCAAAGUGUCACCCCAACAAACUAGACGCAUGUAUCAAGGCAUUCUGCCAACGAGCGAAGGCGAUCGCUCAAGAAAAGAGAUUCAGCCCCGACAAAUGAGAUGCAGUGAAAGACGCUGCGGACUAUGUGGCCGGUGACGUAAAAGAUAUGCCGAAAGCUAGCCAACUCUGCUUCCUAACAAGGUUAAGGCGUGACCUAUAAAACGGAAAUAGCGAGACCUGGGGUCUCAUCGAACGUAAAGUUCAAAGAUGGAGACCAGGUUCGACAUGAAAUCAUAAAGGUUUGAGGGCCCGUUGGUCAAAGAAAAGGGAAGGUCCUACUUCCGGAAUGGAGUCUUAUAAUGCGAGAGUGUCACGUAUAGUUCCUUUGAUAAGGGUGUGAUACCACCACCUAUCAGGCCCGACGAGCGGUCCACAGAGCUGCAUCCCUACUCACCUGGUCUAUGCACAUCGCUCUCCCCAGGAGGUUGCCCGCCUAUCCUAGAUCUUCCCAUUUCCAAGAAGAUCCCAGAAUCGAUCUGUUUUAGUAUAAAGGUAAUUCUUUUUCUGUUCCUAUAUAUAUGGGUCCGUGCAGCAUUUCCACGAUAUCGUUAUGAUCAAUUAAUGGGACUUGGCCGGAAAGUGUUCUUGCCUCUAUCAUUAGCUCGGGUAGUCCCCGUUUCUGGUGUUUUAGUCACCUUCCAACGGCUCCCUUAAUUAUGUGCGAGGAAUUGCCCUAUUUAGUAAUGGGAAGCAAGAUAGUCCCCGAAAAUGCCCCGCCCGUAAGUUCCUUUGUCGUUGGGGAAAAAAAAGAAGUGAUGCUCAAAAUCCCUGUGGAUAGGUUCAUCCAUUUUCGGUAGACAGGGAAUUUGAUGAAGUAGACAUUGGAUUGGACAGCGGCAAAGAGGGGCCUGAUCCAGGAAUGUCGGGAGCUUGCCCAAGGCCCGAAAUGCACAGAUGCAAGAAGAGAGGGUAAAUAGUCGAUUCUCGAUGCGAAGAAGAGCUCUCUUUCACAAGUCCAGUGGUCGCUUGUUAAGGUAGUUUGCAACCUUCAUUCUUAGAGUACAAGAAGUUGGAUGCGACUUAGCGGUCUAUAGAAGAGAGUGUCAGAUAUGAGAAAGAGAUAGACUGAGAUCUUGACAUUGCCGUUAAAGUAAGAUGUGGAACUCUUUUCUCCAACAUGUGGUCACACAAGAAGGUUGGAGUAAGCUAGUCGUACCUGCACUCCUAAAGGUUGAGAGCUUAUUUAGAGCAAUAAGAGUUAUCGAAAGAGCAAACUUCUUCAACAAUCGCUAUUUUUUCUUACAGCUAACCAUGAAUAGCGUUCAGAGUUGAUUCUGUAACAACAACAGUGAGGAUACUGCGCCAGACUAAUAGCCAUACUCCACUCCACUCCGUCUAUUGCUCCUAUAGGUUCUGCGAAAUUGAAACUCCUUUUAGAUAGCAAAGAAUCAUUUUUGUGUCCCGCCAAGCCAAGGAAAGAAGGCAAGGUGCCCUGGGAAAGGCUCAGACUAGUUUCAAGGUCAAGGCAAAAAGCUUAGUCAUUUUCAACUCAGAGUUUCACCGUGCAUUGAUUCAUUGAGAGCAGACAAUCACUAAGAAGACUUAAGGAUAGGACGUGAGAUCCACUACUUACGUGUCCAUCUAUCUGAGAUUCAAAUCUUUCUAGUUUGAUGAAACACUCUUAAAUCUAGAAAGACUCUUUCUGACUAGACAGUCAGAUCUUUCAUGUAGUGGUGCAUAGACUUUUGCUUCAUGUGGGAUUUAUCUGAGAAUCAACUGAGUUCAACUUCACUCAAGGGCAAAUGCUUAACAUCACUAGUUUAGUGCCUUGUACAUAAGAAGAAGGACGACUGAAAGCAACUUGAUGACUUCUUCCCCUAGUUCGAAUACUGGCUACCAGCAGGCUUGACUUGCCCAUCUCCUCAUGAUUGAAAUUGAAUUCAACUGGUCUUCUUUCUUCGGUUGGCGUUGCGCUUUCUCACCUGUCGCUCACUCAGAUUUUCUAGACACUUGUCUCUACUCAUCUGGGCUGCAUGACAUCGUCUGGCGAGAAUUCCGCUUGCACUACAUUUUCUGCCGAUAACCUGAGCUUACAAAUCAUUGUAGUAGCCUUCGGCUACCAUCAGAUUCGAUCUCAACAAUUGAACAAUGAACCAAGGACUCUAAUAUGAUUUGUUUUUAGGUAACCUGUUGCUCGAGGUGGGACUUGCAAGCUACCUUGCUUAUACCGUUGCCUUGCUUGUGCUACCUUGCCUCGCACGCAAGCAACCAUUGCAAGCAACUCGCCUUGCUUGCUCUAUGCAACCUCAGUCGACACUUAUCAAACUCGACUCUCUUCUUAUAUAGAAGACACUAAUAGCGCGGUGGUCCCGCCCUCUUCUGUUGGUGAAUCUCCUUGCUAUUGUUGUUUUAAAUAUAUAUCCCAUUCCUGCCCGUCCUACGGCACAUGCGGUACCAGCUCUUAUUCUUGAUGUGGCUCUUUCAAAAAUUGCAAAAAAUAGUAUAGAUUCUCUUAUUCUUUCUUCGGUAGCUGUGGAUGCGCUUUACUUCUUUCUGAGUAUCCCAGUGCAACUGUCUUGUUCAAACUAUGGAUCUUAUAUAGAGAAAGAGUAUGAAAGCCCAUCUGCGAUUGCCAAGAGAAGGGAACUGCCCAUUUUGGGAACCAUUGAAGGCCGCCAUCAACUCCCAUCCGAAGGGGCACCAGUUCUUCAUUUAUUUCUUCCUCUCCUGCCCUUCGCUGGAUAGAAGCUAUCAAGCCCUCCCGAUCAUCGAAGCUCAGAAGCAGUAAUCCGUAUCUCAAAAUAAAUCUCUUUCUUUUGUCCUUUAGGUUUCCCUCAACUUUAAAUCCAUCUGCCGCCCCCGUAUACUCUGUUUUCGGAGAGCCGAAACCAGGGACGGGAUAUGAGGCCACCUCUCCUAGUCUCAAUUGGUAUUCCCAUCAUUCAGUGAAGGCUCGAAGCCAUCUCCAUUCAUCAGAAACUAUCAAUUAUGAGUCCAGGGCAGGCUAACCACCAGCAUCUUAUCUCUUUUCAUCCUUUUUGGUGGCACUAAUAGAAAGGAAGUACUUGCCAAUGAACCUUGACUCUCUACUCUCUCCCAGCGUCUCUACUCUUGCCCAGUGAAUCAAGAAAUCUAGUGCAGUCAAGAAAUGCAUAAUUUGGAUUGGAAUCUCGGGAUUGAGAGACAAAUAUUCGCCAGGUCCGAUAUUUGAUCAUUUGCCGCUCACUCGCUUCUUUCUGCACUGGAUCGAAUCAAUUAGAUGGGUCACUGGUAACGGAUUAGCUUAUUUUCUACUCCGAUACCGCUCCGUACCCCUCGAAAGAUUGAGGAUACAUCCUAGGUUUUAUUGCUAGGUCAAGGGGAACCACCUACUACUGAACCUGUGGACGGGAUCAAAGAAUCAAUCAGUGGAAUUUUUAGGCCUUAGCCCUUCUUCUCUUUUCCCUUAUCGACCAUUCCUUAGCCUUAAGAACAACCAAACCACUGGUCAAUCGACCAACAGUGAACCAAAUCCGCAUUUUCAAUCAAUGAAUCUAAUUCAAACUCUCUCAGAAAGCUCGUGGUUCCAGAACCGGCUAGCCGAACCAUCCAUACAAACCAUCUCCCAACUGGAAAUAAGACCUGGUGGAGCAGCUUAGCCAUCCAUGUCGUUCCCCUCUUACCCGCAUCUAAACCAUCCUUUCUUUUAUCUCAAUCUCUCGCGAGGGUAGGUUUUCCAUCAAGACUCAAAGUUUCUAAGGAUCCAUGGAAAUCAACGGCUUAGCGAGCUAAGGUUGAGUGGAGAAAAAGAUGGACUCGACUUCUCUUCUUGCUCGGAUGCAGACAUAGAUGGAGAGUUUAACUGGUUCAUAAAAAUAGAGAGUUGGAUCCGUAUCAGAAGGAGGAUCAGGAGAAGAAAGCAGGCAGUGUAUAAAGGGAGACUGGGAAAGAGCAGGGCUUGAACUUCCAAUUCAAGCUCACAGGAUAGAAAGGAUUCCUUUGAACGCGUCAUUGAUAGUUCCAUGUAGUCAAGUUGAUGGCACAGAUUUAAUCUGCCUCUACUUCCUUAAUAUCAAUGAAUAUACAACUUGAACCCCCAAACCCUAAUUUCGAAAUGUCGUAAGUGAUAUUCGAAAUCACUGAAUGUGUACUGAUUGCCGCUUGAGUAGGUAGGAUAAGUCUUGGAGUCACCAUUGGGGUUAUUUAGAUUCUACCAACCCAAAAGCUAUUCCACGGGUUAGCCACCUCAUCCAAUAUGUCAGUAGCCAUUCUGACAGGCAGUAGACACUACUACUACUGAAAGGGUAGUCAAUCUUGCUUAAUUACACUUUUACUUUGCCACAUCAGUACGAGAAGCUGUACAUUGGUGCGCGGUAAAAAAGUUUGAGAUUUUAUUUAAGAAUUUUCUAUUAAUAAGCGUCCCUAUUUUUUGGAUAGGAUAGAGAAUGUGCAUUCCCUAGGGGAACUAUAGUCUAGGUCAGAGCUGAGUUAAUCAUAGCUUUUGAUCCAUAGGAUAGGAAAAAGGGAGGAGAAUAAUAAGAAUAAGUUUUCCAUAAAGAGCUCACGAGACUCCCCAUACGAAGAAAAGAGCGACCCGCCAGAUUCGAAUUAGCAUAUAGAAAAGUGGAAUCCGUUCUAAAUUCCCCUAAUUUCUUUCUCUCCUGUCAUGAGGAGUCGCUUUGGUGACGCAGUUCGGCAAAUCCCACCUACAUCUGCGGAGCCGAGCAGGAAGAUCCAAAAUAUUAGGUGGCCCACGGGCAUAGAAGAAAAGAAAUACAAUUAAAAAAUAAUUGUAUGACCGAUAGUAGUACAUGGCUGACUUGGAACAAAUUAUUGAAAACCAUAAAUGAGUUUUAUAUAUUCGAAAGCCUGCUCCCAAUAGAAACUAUAAAAUCCACACUCUAAAAGGUUAGUGUAGACAUCAAAUAGAUAAGAUGGGUCUAGCACGUGGAAAUUCUCUUUAAUGGAAUUUUAGCCUUAGCUGGCCAUGCCCGAAGUCCUUACCUUAAUCGUAAGGAGGGGGAUGCCAAAAUAAAAUAAGGAUUCAAUCCAGCCAAUGGUUCCCCUAUGGCUACCUUGUAAAGUUGUGAAAAAGCAAAGGAAGAAUGGUUAUAAACAUCAUCGACCUUUCAUUGAUCUUUUGCACCUCGACCGUUUGCCAGUCGAUCAACCAAGAAAUGAGUUAGUCGAGGCAAAAUGACUGAAAGAUCUCUGACGUCAUCAAAAUGCCUCCCUUAUACAUGAACACAUAGCCAAAGAAGAAGACACUUUACGAUGAUCCCCAGAGUUGUGUUCGCUAUUCUAAAAAAGAAAGAAAGAGAUUUUUUUGAGAUUCUCAAUUCUGCCUUUUUUCAUCCCAUGCUUUCUGUUGGUCAACAACUAACUAAAGUGCUCUAUACUUCUUCACUACUCGUACAGGCUUAACGGAGUUAAGCUGUAUUGAGGGAAUCAUUUUGUCUCAAUCAAUCAAGAAUGCCUCAACUAGAUAAAUUCACUUAUUUCACACUAGAUCUAGCCCAGUUCGUCUCCAGCCCACUUGAACAAUUUGAAAUAAUCCAUUGAUUCCUAUGAAAAUAGGAAACUUAUGUUUCUCAUUCAUAAAUCCGUCUUUGUUUAUGCUACUAACUCUCAGUUUGGUCCUACUUUUGGUUUAUUUUGUUACUAAAAAGGGAGGAGGAAACUCAGUACCAAAUGCUUGGCAAUCCUUGGUAGAGCUUAUUUAUGAUUUCUUGCUGAACUCGGUAAAUGAACAGAUAGGUGGUCUUUUCGGAAAUGUUAAAUAAAAUUUUUCCCCCUGCAUCUCGAUCACUUUUAAUUUUUUGUUAUUUUAUAAUCCCUAGGGUAUGAUACCUUAUAGAUUCACAGUUACAAGUCAUUUUCUCAUUGCUUUGGGUCUCUCAUUUUUUAUUUUUAUUGGCAUUACUAUAGUGGGAUUUCAAAAAAAAAUGGGCUUCAUUUUUUAAGGUUCUUAUUACCUGCAGGAGUCCCACUGCCAUUAGCACCUUUUUGAGUACUCCUUGAGCUAAUCCCUUAUUGUUUUCUAGCAUUAAGCUCAGGAAUACGUUUAUUUGCUAAUAUGAUGGCUGGUCAUAGUUCAGUAAAGAUUUUAAGUGGGUUCACUUGGACUAUGCUAUGUAUGAAUGAUCUUUUAUAUUUCAUAGGGGAUCUUGGUCCUUUAUUUAUAGUUCUUGCAUUAACCGGUCUGGAAUUAGGUGUAGCUAUAUCACAAGCUUAUGUUUCUAUGAUCUUAAUCUGUAUUUACUUGAAUGAUGCUAUAAAUCUUCAUCAAAGUGCUUAUUUUUUUAUAAUUGAACAAAAGCGAGUCUGAAUGGGUAUACUUAGUCAUGGAGCAUUUCGAGUCUUUGCUUUAGGGAUCGUUCCUGCGCAUCUCCUUACUUUAUAGCAGUUAUUGCUCCGAUUCCAAAAGGUAUAUAGCUCUCGCCUCAGCUUUUUCUUUGAAAUUGGAGACUGUUCCAAUUUUCUACUGAGAUAGGCAAGCGGAGGAGAACUAGACGUAUCUUGCUAGGCAAAGACAGGUUAGAAUGGAUAGCUCACGGGUAGGAUUGACGGGAUAGAUCACUAUUGUAGAAGGAGGUAGAAUCGCGGGAAGAAUUAUGGCUAUAAAGGUCCUCUCCCUCUUAGGCACAUGGUUCUAAAGAUUUAAUCUCAAAGCGGUACUAAAGAUUAGGCAGAAGAAGAACUAGAACUCGAAUUCUUUGCCCCUCCCCCUGUACCAAGAAGCAAGUUCAGAACAUAAGGAUAAUGGGCUCGUCUAUUAGAAGUUAUUAGUUUACAGAACUAUCUCAGAUAUCUCGAGUAAGGAGAUAGGAUGGGUUUGAUAGUUAGAGUUCUAUUUCUAGAAAGGAAGAGACUAUCGGGAAGCUCACUCUCGACCGGGCUCGAAGUAGAGGGUAGAACAUAAUAUCUCUUGUUGGUUCAGCUCAUCAAGCUAUUACAAAAGAGUCAUCAAAGAAAGCAAGCAGCAAGUCGUUCUAUGCAUAGCAUACUCUCUCAGUUCUUCUCCUUUUAUGACCGAUCGAAGGGGAAUGGGCCAACUCGAAAUAGACCAAUUUGAGAAAAGGGUCAAGAUAUGGUGCUGCGGUCAGAAUAAAGAAUCCUUUCUAGGAGGGUAAUGCAAAUUGUGAUAUAUCUCAAUAGUUAACGGAAAGGAAUAGGCGAGAGGAGAAGUGUUGUUUGCAAGCGAACCCAAUAAUGCCACGAGGCAGAGAGCCUUUCGAUGAAGCCUGCACCCACUGGGAAAAAAAAAUAAUAUACCUUGCCAGAGUUUCCCCAUAAGGGGUCUUAAACAACAUAAGAAAAAGCUUCACCAACUGUUUUAUCCACAAGAAUGUCAUAAAGGUUCACUCUGGUCUUCCUUAAAAGGACAGCUUUAGAGCACAAGUCAAACUCAUGAUAGACGAGCAAUCACGCGCACAUGGUUUAGCGGUUUGCUGUGCUCUGUGAUCUUAUUCUUCUCUAAGACCCGAUGCUUCAUCUGCUUCUUUAGUUUAGUAGGACUUCAAACACUCUAUUUCAUGAAAGAUUUCCAAUUUUAUUGCUAUGGAUCCGUUGGAGCAAGCGGUUAAGGCCAGGGGUGGAAGAAAUGGGGAAAUGCCUCUGCCAGGGAGGUAUAGAGCUUCUAACCACGUGUACCAACUAUCUAGGGGAUAGGGGGUAAAUCAGCUCAUAGAGAGAACUGAGAACUAGCACUUAAACUAUAGGGAUAGGGGGCAGAGCGAGCGUUAAAGAAAAAGCAAAGCUCUCAGCAAAGUUGUGGAUAUCUAAUUGGAUAAGGAGCGGAAUCUCCUUUUGAUUUGGAAGGUUGAUAUAGCGGAAAUUCCAGUUUUCCCUAAACUAGAAAAAAUGAGACAACGAAGUCGCGAUGCCUACCUUACCAUCUUAGUCCAAAUAAGGGUUCUAAGGAGGAAGUGGAUCAUCAUCUGGCCCAAUAGACUCUAUCUUCCCCCUCAAACCUAGUUCUUCCAAUAGGGCAUACCCUGCUUUAUCAUCAAAGAGAACGUUCUCAUUCUUUCUUAUGAAAAUAUAAACCUCGUAGACAAAUCUAUGAAAUUCUAUACCUGGAAACCUUUUAGGAAACUGACUAUCAAAAAGAUUCUUUAAGGCUAUAUCGAGUAAAACCCGAGUGAUAUCACCCGCAGGUGGUAUCCCUAAACCGCCACUGCUUGUAUAGAUGCGGAUACCUCCCAAAUCUUCAAAAAUAGUGAGGCUAAGAAAAGAUAAAAUUAGUCUAUAAACUGAUCCAUCUCCAACUAAAGGCUUUACCCACAAUUUGAUCAUAGAGGAAGGAAUUUGUCUUAUUGAUUCUCCCAAGUCAAUCCUGUACAGUCUAUCUACCCUUUCCUCUUGUUGAAGACAAGAAUAAAAAGAAGGAAGCAGACAAUCUAUUCGGUAACCUUCUUCCGGCAUCUCACUACGAUAAAGACGAAGUAGGGUUAUGGAUAGCCCUAUUAAGACCAAUGCAUCCUCUUUGCUAGAGGGCAUAAUUACAUGAAUUAUAUCUUCUCCACCGUCUCCCGUAAUAAUAAAUUCUAGCCGCUCAGGUAUUAACCCCUUUAAAAAGUCCUUUAGAUCUCUCCCCAUUACUCGUUUUAUUUCUAGGGGUGAUAGAACAUAUCCCCCCUGAUAAUAAGAUUUUGCAUAUGAAAGAGUCUGUCGAGAGGCAUAUCCAUAAAUGGAGGAUUUUGACUCUAAACGAAGGAAUCUGAGCUUUAUCAACAUUGAUAAACUUUCUAGCUAAUGCAGGCAUCUGGUGAAACUCCUCGAAAGUGCCAGAAAUCUCCUCAUCAAUGGUAUAAUUAGCUAGGCUAUCUGCCACAGCAUUUCCUUCCCUGUACACAUGAGAAAAUCGAAUUUAUUUAUCCCUCAACAAUGUAAUAAUUUUCCUGACCAUUGUAUCAACAGCCCAGGGUACAGACACCUCUUGUAUCAUGAUCAGUCUAGCAAUGUUUGAAUCAGUCUCAAUCACCAUAUUUAUAAAGCCUUUAUGCACACAGAUUUCAGAAAGUAACUGAAUAGUUAUUAUCUCUAAAUACAUAUUAGUUUGAACGUGUAGCAGCACACAAAAAAUCACCAGCAGCAUAUCUAAACACCACAGCAUCACCACUCUUACCUGGAUUACCUCUUGAUGCACCAUCUGUCUUACAUUGAAGCCAUUUUCCACUAGGUAAUUCCCAAUAUACUCUUCUAUAAUGCAGCCUGGGGAUGUAGCUCUCCAACUCACUAACCAAUUCAGGCCAAUUAGAAGACAAUCUUUUCAUCUUAGGAAACCUAUACACCAGUAAAUUAUGUAGAGUUGCUGAAACCUGAGAAAUUAGCCUAUUCAAGAAGAUAUUACCACCAUACCUUCUUUUCUUUCUCCUCUUCCAUAGCUCCCAAACAACUACACAAGGCAAUGCUUGAUAUAAGGGCUUUAGAUAUACAUUUUUAGGGUGUUUCCACCAUCUUUGAAAUACCUGUUGUAAGCUAACACCAUGUGUAAGUCCUACACCCAAGGAAAAGUACUGUCAUACCUUAUCAGCACAUUGACUCUUCAGAAAAAAAUACUGCAUGGUUUUUACUGUUGGUCGAUUACAACACCAAGACCUUGAGGGCUUUAUAUAUCCAAGUCUUGUCAGAAUGUCAUCCAAAGGAAGUUUGCAAUGUCACACUCUCCAUGAGAAGAAAGAUAUCUUAAUUGGCAACCAUAACGCUCUAACGCACAUCGUUAUGGCGCUUUGGAACACUGCCGAUUGCCACCUCUUGCAAGCAACCGUCGGUCACAAAUAGGAAUAAUCAUACGCUAUCAUAGGCGCUUCUAAUUUCUUUAGAGAUUCUUAAAGCACCAUGCGCUGAAAUCUACCUAGCUACUUACUACUCUACUUAACAACAAAUCUAGCAUGAAAUGGAAUUCAAAUUGGUCUAGAAAAAGAACCGUGCUAGUCGGAAUUUGGGGAAAGAUAGAGAGAUCUCUAGGCUCUCCUAAUCAAAUUGAGAGUUCGCUUUGCCAGUCCAUGAAUAUGCCGCACCCAGCAGUUCGAGGAGUUGUCCAGAUACGGGUCGAAGCCCUGCCUUGAAAAAGACAGGACUUUUGGGUAGAUUCCAGUAUCCGACCCAUCUCUUUCUGUCGAUUCCCCUGGUUGUCGAAAUCUCUGGUUCGAUCAGGACCAGGAGUCCCAUUCAUUCGUUUAUGAGAGCGACUCUCUGUUCCCAUUCUCCACUGGGUCAUCAAGUGAUUAUCCAGCUCAAUCCAUUUUUCCAUCCGAUGAUCUUCACCCUAGGACUGACUCUAUUUGACCUGCCUUGAUUGCCUAGAUAAUGCUACCAUCGCAAGCAACCUCUCAAAGAAUAGGGAGUGAACGACCCUUCUAUCUAGAUCGGUGAUUCCGUUCGGCCGAGCCAGCUAUUGAAAGUCUUGCAAGCAACCUACACUAAGCUAAGCGAGCUAGGAGAUAAAGUGAAUCUUUUUUGGCAUCUUUUUCUUUGCUUUGACUGCGACUUUGUUUGGUCUUCCUCUUUCCUUCGGCCCAUGUUUCAAAGCUAGCAAAAAGUUUGAGUCUUUGGGAUCUCUCUUGAACGACGGUCGGUCAGUCCUUUUCUUCUAUUGAUACUGAGACUGAUGCUUUGACUGUCUCCCAUAUCAUUCGAUAAUAAAGAUCCACUACUUGCUUUGUCGACGCUAAACUCAGUACCUCGCUUCCUUAUUAGUACACCUACUAGACCCAUACUCAUUACGAAUGUGUUCACCAGACACCUGACUUAGCAACCUUCUACUUAGACCGGCAAUAAUAAGGAAGGAGAUCUAUGGAUAAUGGGAUAUAGAAGUCAGGUAUGACGGUCAGCUCAGUCAGAGCGGAAUCAUUCAGGCAAGGUUAUCGUCAGACAAUGUAGUGCAAGCAACGGGUAGCGCUUGCCAUAUGAAGAAGGCAACUACAAUGGGAGACAAAGGCGACGUGGGCUUUCCAUAUAGAUGUAGAACUUGCAAGGCAAUUCAGAUGACGUUAGCGAGAUGUAGCGCUAACUAGGUUAGGGUAGCGCUUGCCAUAAAGAAGCUAGCCAGAAAGCAGUUCAGGCAGGCGAACGAUAGUAUAAGUAAGCUAACACGCGAGCGAGGUUGAAGGGGUCUUGCAUAACCUUCGAAUUAUUGCAAGCGCAACCUUUGACCCCUUCGUCGACAACCUCUCAUUUGUUCGACUACUCACGAGGCCUACUGCAUUUAGGUAUAAGAAGCCCCACCCCAGAAAAGAGUGUAAAGCAGUACUUAUGUUAAAUUGUGUCCCUUGUAAAUGAAAGAGCUCAUGCCAUAAAUUACUAAUGAAGAUUGAAUCCCCAGUCGCUGACAAUUGAGCGUGGCAUUCCAUACAAUGAAACUAUCAGUCAAUGAUGUGUUCGUUGCCAAGGUAGAUCUUUUUAUUUGCCUUGAAAGAUAUUGCGUAUAAAGAGAAAGAUAGCCAGUCCUCUUGGGCGGCCGAGAGUGUUAUGUAAAAAGGACCAAGGAGGAUCCUAUCCGUCAGGAGAAGGAGGAGGAGUAGGAGCUAGCCUUAGGGGCGGAAUCGAAUGAUUGGGAGAUUAACAAUGAGACAAAGGAGAGCACUUAGACGAGUCAGCCAAAAAGAAAGACCACCAAAAGUAACGACCACCAAGAUAGGUAUAGUAAUUUGAUCUUUUGAUCACCCAUUUUUGGAAAACCAUUUUUGGGGGCUUCCGCCUUACACACGGAAGAUUGGAUUGCCUGAAUCACGAGUCUUAUAUACUAUGUUACGAUCACCUCAUAUUGAUAAAUAGUUCAGAGAACAAUUUUGGAUGAAAAUCAAGAAAGAAUUUCUGGUCAUAAAAACAGAAAAGCAUGAAUUCCGCAAGAAGUUCUUUCGGUUAAAAUGUCGUACGACUCGGAGGAAAUAAGACUUCUUAGUCAAGCUAAAAAGAUUUCCGACUGGAUGAUCCUACCCCACCAUGCAUGGCCCUUUAUAUUACCUUAAGAAGAAAGAGGAGGUAUGAAGCGUGGGACAAAAUGCAAGAAGUGUAUGAUACAACAGAUAACCUUAAAGAGUGGCGGCAACCCUUUUGAUUGAUCAACACGAGUGAACUGUGCUUAGACGCUUCGUAAAACCACACCGAUCUAUGAUAGGAGCUGAUAGAUGAGUAGGCUUCCUCUUUUGAUUUACAGAAUAUGAUCUAGGAUACGAUGGGAGUUUGCGUGUCUCGGUAGGAAAGAUAUCACUGGAGUAUAGCAUAAGAUCGCCUUUUCUUGCUGCCAUGGGGUCGACCUGUGAACAAGGUAAACCCAAUGAGAACCAAAAAAUGGGGGAUACCGCAUUGGGCAGAAGACGAUCCAAAAAGUGAAGGCUCACCCAACUGAAAGAAGGGGGUGAGAUAGGCAAGAGGUAGCUUGCUUCCAAACCAGCCCGGCUGCAAGGAAUCAAGAGAGCUUUGCCGAUGCUGACUUGGAUCUUGGGUGAUGGAAUAAGGCAGCCAGAAGAGACGAGCAGUCGCGGUCGAAGCUUGGCUCUAGCCGAUAGGCUAGAAGUAAGCUUGGAUACAGCAAAGCACUUACCAAGCGUGAUGGAAAGGGACUUCGCCACUUAAACCGUAUGCGGGGAAACUCGCAUGUGCAGUUCUUAGGGGGGAGAGAUAGUAGGAGCCAUCCCAUCCCAAUAGCGUAUAUUUGGAGCUCAAUAAAUCCCAUUUUCUUGCAAGACCCAUUCGGAUAAAGGAAAACUCCAGAGAUUGCUUCGAAAUAAGAUCCUUAUGUUGACCCUUUCCUAAACCAGAACCAGGGGAGGAUGAGAGGUAAAGGGGUGAACAACCUCUGUUCACCUGUGUCGGUUUGGGAUACGGUCAGUUCCCCAGCCAAGGAGACUAUCCUUACACAUUCGAUCUCUCCUAGUGCUUAGUGGGCCAAGUGUAUUUUAGUUAAUCUACCCAUUUUACGACCGCUUUCUUAUUAUCCCUCGCUUGUAGUGACUGAAUCUUGUUUCUGAUAUAGCACCAUUGAUUGGUCUAUUGCCAAAGUAAACUCGAGAAUUAAAGAUUUUGUUCUGUCUGGAGGACAUUUAUUAUGCUAUCACUACUGCUUGUCAAUUUGAAUUGCAUCAAAGCUCUCGUUCGAACUUCAUCUAUGAGAAUUCUAAACAAGAACUCGAGACAUGAAAUAAAUCCAAGUGGAGGUUCUUUCUCAGGGCGUAAGGCAUAGCACGCAAAAGAUAGCCAGGAAAGACAAAGACAGGAUUUUUUAAUAAAAAGCGGUGGAUGAGCAGUAAUGGCUGGGGAAGGGAGCAAGUACAUCCUUUUGUUCUCAGUUCGUAGGAAUUGUUUCCAUCACUAACCAGUUCAGCUCAAAUAGUGGGCUUUUGUGUUCGUACCUCGAAUCCGGACCUGUUCGACAAGACCAGAUCCAUCAACAAACCUAGGUCCAAUAUUUUUUUGUAUGAGCUAGCCAUCAACAGAUGGACAUCUUUUUACCACAGUCUUCCCCUAUUGGGCAUAGCCUUUUCUCCGUUAGGCUCCUGUAAGGGUGGGUAUGAGAGAAGGGUCCCCUUCUCCCUUGUCAAAGCUUAGUUAUCCAUGAAUGAGAACUCAUUUUGCUUGUUGGCAGGUAGCUCCAUGGUUGGUUAGUUCGAAAGUUAGUUUUUACUCUUCGAUAGUCGAGAAAGAAAGGUGUGAUUACCUGAGGUGAGGUUGCCCUUCUUUCUGCCUUAGAAGAGGUAUAGUUUAGGUCAGUACUUUAUUCUAUUUUUUGAAUAAAUUUCUUUAAGGAAAUAUCUAUGAACUUAGCUCGGACUAAAUCCGCAUCCGCCUCUGUAGCUCUUCUAUAAGAGCGGACCUUUUUCCAGUCCUAUUCUUUUCUCUUAAGUUCCUUUUGAAACACCUCAUGUUGGGACGUCUACACCUUUUUCUAUUUUGAGACGACCACAGGUUUCACUAAUCCUGCUCUAUCCAGUUUGAGGUCGUCUGAACCUACUACCCUGCUCCAAAUUCCACUCUGCUCCUACAUCAAAUUCAUUCUCCUCCGUAGCUCACGUUCAUGGAGGGAGACUUUCCAAACGAAGACUCCAGGUUACUGAAAUGAACACAAGGCUUUAGCAAGCCACCCAAUGUAGGAAGAAUUACCUCCCAUCCGUUCUAGCUACUCCACACUGGCCUUAAAAGCGCCUACUUUUCUUUCUUCACAGAGAUGUAUAAAGUUUGAUUAAAUUGCGUAUAGAGACAUGCUUUGUUUUGUAAAAAGGGGACAUAGACCCUUCCUCGUAGACUUGCCCCCAUUGAUUUGCCCUCGAGUAGCUGAACUAGGGGAACUCAAAACUAGCUACUAGGAAAAAAAUCCCACUAUUUGAACAUCAAGCUUGUGGACAAGUUGCUUCCCUUUCUGUGCUUUUACGCUGGCCUCUUCGACCUUUCUUGGGUUCACUAGAAAUGUCAUCAAAGCUCUCUCUUCCUAUCCGACCUAAGGCAGCCAUCAAACCCUAUCGGAUAGAAUUUUACUAUAACCGGCUGAUCUGUUUACCCGAGUUAGACCCUAGCAUCUUACCAACCAUCUUCAGUCCCUACCCCCAUCUUUAUCUAUCCCGUCACGAGCAAUCGAAUGACUUUUGGGAAAUGUGAAAGAAAUUUUCUAACCGAU